This is a long non-coding RNA of Olea europaea var. sylvestris, 2006 nucleotides long. RefSeq lists it as uncharacterized. NCBI's taxonomy places the organism in Eukaryota, Viridiplantae, Streptophyta, Magnoliopsida, Lamiales, Oleaceae. The transcript has 2 exons. The record is from RefSeq and is a predicted model, not a curated record.
AUUUGAGGAAGAAGAAUUGAAGGUUGAGGAUUCAAUUUCAGAAAAAUACAUGAGCGUUGGUGGCUGAGCGUGACGAUAGAUGACAGGACGCAUCGUUGAUAUCCACGUGAGAGUCGGUGUAUAAAUGAAAAAGGAGAUAAUGAAAAAUAAAUUAGGGUCUGAAUCUCCAAAAUGUAUUUGGGUUUCCAAUCUCCACAAUGAGAAAUGAGAAACCGAAAGUGCAUGACCUUUUUGUCUUGAUUUUCAAUUGAAUCUUGAAUUUUUUGUUGUGAAUUAUGAUUCACUAAUUGUCAAGUAAAUAUAUAUAAUAAAAUUUUAAAGUUGAAUUUCGUUCUUUGUUUGGUUCUUGGUUUUAGUACUAGAACCGAGCCAGAAGUAGAACCAUUAAUUUUUUAUUUUUAUUAUUAUUAUUUUUAUUUUUUAAUUUUUUGUUUGCAGAAAUGUUCAGUUUGCUUUGAUCUGGUUUGGUUUUGUUAGAAAUUCUUUUGGUCCCACAUUAGCGCGAAAAUUCAUCCAUUUUCAAUCAUUAGAUUUGGAGCUAAUCCAAAAGCAGGGAAUUAUUACAAAAAGGGUAAAAUAUGAAAAAAUUGUAAUGACUUCUCUUCAGCUAUCGAAAUCCAGCCCGUCGAUUUGUGCGAGAAAUUGAGCUGUUUCUGCUCGAAAUUCAUCGCCAAGGCAUCUGUGAAAAGGAAUAUCAGGCUUCAAAGUUUCAGAAUUGUACUUAAUAAUGGGAGGUUAUCGGUUUCCUUCAAAAUACGAGAAACAUAAAAUUGAAGUAACGGUAAGUUGGAAUGCAGAUUUACUUUAUUAAUUAUUAUAUUUUAAUGGUUAAAUUAGUAGGUUGAAACUCUUCUCUUCUUACGACGUUCUGAGUCGAGCUCUGUAACACUAUAAUUGGCGUUAAAUCUAACAGCCCAAUCUUGGAACUUAUUAUAGUCUAUUUUGUAGUUAAUUAUAUUGCCGGUUGAGACUCUAUUGAUCUUGUCCAUGAAAUGGGAAAGGAACACCGUAAUUGCAUAGUUGUUCUGUGCAGAUCCUCAACUAUAUUCGUCUAAUUCAGUUUACCUUGCGCACGAAACCAAAAUUUUGCCAUCAAGGAAUUGUGAUAUGUUUUUCUUAUAUUCUAAUGAUUUUUUCAACUUCCAGCUGCAUCUGAGUUUUAAGUUAAUUGCUCAAGUGAACUCUUUGCAUAAUGUAAGUUCAUUCAAGAUUUUCUCGAUUUCCAGCCGGACUAACUGCAUCUUAGUUUUAUGUAAAUUGCUUCGAGCUAACGUGACUAAUCAAAUUGGUCUACAAAUCAAAUUAAUGUGUCAAAGUGCCCUAAUAUAUUAUUUCAGGUGAAGAACCUGCUGAGUCUUUGUUUAUGAAGGAACUAAGGAGACGAAGGAUGACCCCUGCUUUGUUGCUUUAGAAGAAAAACGGGAACAUUUAGGGAGAGAGAUGUGAAAAUUUAGAGAAGAAGACGGGGGUUGAGGUUCCUCGAGAAGAAAUGGAGUAAUGACUGAUUAUGAAAGGGAUCUAUCUAAUCAAAGGGAAACAUCUGUGGCACUGAAUAGUGCAGGCCUUGAGGGUGCUAAGGUCAGCUAGUAUCACAUGAGAGUGGACAACUAUGUUACAACAGUAGUACCAGAUCCACAAGUUUUUACUAAUAUGUUUUAAGUUAGGCAAGAAAACACAGAGAUCAAGUGAAAAACCCGGGCUCGAAGUCUUAUUAGCACUCAUUUGAUUCACGGGACAAUAUAAGUACUGGUUUUGUUUACUUCUAAAAUUGUUUCCAUGUAAACUUGUGCUUAAUGUCAAUGUUUGAUUUCACGGGCUAAAAUUUUACUUACCCUUGGAAGAACUUUCUUUCUGGGGUUUUGGCCAUUGAUUCCUGUAACCAUUGCAUUCUUUUCUGCCCUGUAUCUGGCGAUCUCAUUUACUCGAUUUUUAAUGUUGCUAUGUCUUAUUUUUUUUAUGUCUGAAUGUCAUUCUCAAAAGAAACUGUGGUUUCUCAGUCUUUUUAA